This 486-nucleotide ribosomal RNA is filed under the name uncultured bacterium. RNAcentral describes it as "partial 16S ribosomal RNA". It matches the Rfam family "Bacterial small subunit ribosomal RNA", at positions 30 to 507 of the family's 1533-position model. The record is from RNAcentral.
AUUGAACACUGGCGGCAUGCCUUACACAUGCAAGUCGAACGGCAGCACGGGUGCUUGCCCCUGGUGGCGAGUGGCGAACGGGUGAGUAAUACAUCGGAACAUGUCCUGUAGUGGGGGAUAGCCCGGCGAAAGCCGGAUUAAUACCGCAUACGAUCUACGGAUGAAAGCGGGGGACCUUCGGGCCUCGCGCUAUAGGGUUGGCCGAUGGCUGAUUAGCUAGUUGGUGGGGUAAAGGCCUACCAAGGCGACGAUCAGUAGCUGGUCUGAGAGGACGACCAGCCACACUGGGACUGAGACACGGCCCAGACUCCUACGGGAGGCAGCAGUGGGGAAUUUUGGACAAUGGGCGAAAGCCUGAUCCAGCAAUGCCGCGUGUGUGAAGAAGGCCUUCGGGUUGUAAAGCACUUUUGUCCGGAAAGAAAUCCUUGGCCCUAAUACGGUCGGGGGAUGACGGUACCGGAAGAAUAAGCACCGGCUAACUACGUG